RNAcentral lists this ribosomal RNA (442 nucleotides) under uncultured bacterium. RNAcentral describes it as "partial 16S ribosomal RNA". It matches the Rfam family "Bacterial small subunit ribosomal RNA", at positions 338 to 795 of the family's 1533-position model. The record is from RNAcentral.
CCUACGGGUGGCAGCAGUGGGGAAUAUUGGGCAAUGGGCGCAAGCCUGACCCAGCAACGCCGCGUGAAGGAAGAAGGCUUUCGGGUUGUAAACUUCUUUUGUCAGGGAAGAGUAGAAGACGGUACCUGACGAAUAAGCCACGGCUAACUACGUGCCAGCAGCCGCGGUAAUACGUAGGUGGCAAGCGUUGUCCGGAUUUACUGGGUGUAAAGGGCGUGUAGCCGGGUUGACAAGUCAGAUGUGAAAUCCUGCGGCUUAACCGCAGAACUGCAGUUGAAACUGUUGGUCUUGAGUAUCGGAGAGGCAGGCGGAAUUCCUGGUGUAGCGGUGAAAUGCGUAGAUAUUAGGAGGAACACCAGUGGCGAAGGCGGUCUGCUGGACAGCAACUGACGCUGAGGCGCGAAAGCGUGGGGAGCAAACAGGAUUAGAUACCCCUGUAGUC